UUACGGCCAUAUCAAGUUGAAACACCAGGUUUCGUAUAAUCACCGAAGUUAAGCAAUGUCGAGCCUGGUCAGUAACUAGAUGGGUGACCGCUUGGGAAUGUCAGAUGCUGUAA
Acanthosepion pharaonis is the source of this 113-nucleotide non-coding RNA. Lineage: Eukaryota; Metazoa; Mollusca; Cephalopoda; Sepiida; Sepiidae. The record is from the annotation of a GenBank genome assembly.